GGGGCAUUGGCGCAGGGGCUAGCGCGCUUCUAUGGCAUAGAAGAGGUCAUCGGUUCAAAUCCGAUAUGCUCCACCA
Molecule: transfer RNA, 76 nt
Filed under: Candidatus Saccharimonadota bacterium
Lineage: Bacteria; Candidatus Saccharimonadota
Description: tRNA-Ala
Rfam family: tRNA
About the family: Transfer RNA (tRNA) molecules are approximately 80 nucleotides in length. Their secondary structure includes four short double-helical elements and three loops (D, anti-codon, and T loops).
Source: RNAcentral